AACGAACGCUGGCGGCCUGCCUAACACAUGCAAGUCGAACGAGACCUUCGGGUCUAGUGGCGCACGGGUGCGUAACGCGUGGGAACCUGCCCUUAGGUUCGGAAUAACUCCCCGAAAGGGGUGCUAAUACCGGAUAAUUUCUUCGGACCAAAGAUUUAUCGCCUUUGGAUGGGCCCGCGUUGGAUUAGCUAGUUGGUAGGGUAAAAGCCUACCAAGGCGACGAUCCAUAGCUGGUCUGAGAGGAUGAUCAGCCACACUGGGACUGAGACACGGCCCAGACUCCUACGGGAGGCAGCAGUGGGGAAUAUUGGACAAUGGGCGAAAGCCUGAUCCAGCAAUGCCGCGUGAGUGAUGAAGGCCUUAGGGUUGUAAAGCUCUUUUACCCGGGAUGAUAAUGACAGUACCGGGAGAAUAAGCUCCGGCUAACUCCGUG
Molecule: ribosomal RNA, 433 nt
Filed under: uncultured bacterium
Lineage: Bacteria
Description: partial 16S ribosomal RNA
Rfam family: Bacterial small subunit ribosomal RNA
Source: RNAcentral